Long non-coding RNA from Canis lupus familiaris (dog), 1301 nucleotides. RefSeq lists it as uncharacterized. NCBI's taxonomy places the organism in Eukaryota, Metazoa, Chordata, Mammalia, Carnivora, Canidae. The transcript is spliced from 3 exons. The record is from RefSeq and is a predicted model, not a curated record.
GGAAUCAGUUAUGCCCCUCCAGCCCAGAGCCCGGCCAAUCACCUUUCAUCCCACCAGAGAAGCCUCUCCAGUUGGCAAAGACCAUCAGAGGCAGUCCUUCACGGUUGAAGUCCUUGAUAGCCUGAUAGGUCUUAAACGCAGAGUCUGGGAACCAAACCUGGCCAGCCUGCUGGAUUAUCUAUUGGGGAAAGUCAAAAAGGAAGACACAAUGAACAACAGAGUUUGAAGGGGAAUUUCUGUAAGUUGGAGGAAGAAGAGCUUCCAAGACAAAAGAGCUCUUACCUGGCUCUGCCAACCACCACAGUUUGUGCCCAGGGUUGCAUGAUCUCUGAGAAAGAGCCAUAGUCAAAAAAUCCACUCAGCCACUGACCUUUCUGAGCUAUAGAAGGGAAAGGAAGAGAACAAAAAGAGAAUAAAGACCAUCAAUACACUGAAAAUGCACUGGAACUGGCAAAUUUAAGGCACACAGUGAGAGAGAGAGAGAGAGACGCAGAGACAUAGGCAGAGGGAGAAGCAGGCUCCAUGCACCGGGAGCCCGACGUGGGAUUCGAUCCCGGGUCUCCAGGAUCGCGCCCUGGGCCAAAGGCAGGCGCUCAACUGCUGUGCCACCCAGGGAUCCCCUUGGUUAGUGAUUAAAAGGAAGACUGACAGCCUGAGGGCCAGGGUACCAAAGGACCCUCAAAUAUAUACCUACUUGGGUGAGGGCGGCCUGCUAGCAUCCAUCGAGGAUCGUAUGGGGCCUUCGUGGGAACAAACUCGAUGAUUCUAUCUAUAGGAUCCUUGGAGUUCAGGAGAGGAACUAAACUGCGCACAUUCUGAAAGGUAUACGGGAAGAAAGCACAGCAAUCAGAGAACAGCAGGACCAGAGUCCCAACUCAGCCACGAUCAUUACAAAGACAACAGGGACCAAAUACAGAAUCAUAUCCAUCUGUCCCAGUCAUCAGCUACAGGCAUCACAACUAUAUGCCAAGCCCUGAGAACAGGUCUCAAGUCUCACGUAGGAGCCUGGCAAAAAGUGGUACAUUCUGACUCCUGAUUUCAGUGUACCCAUGCUUUAUGGGAAGCUUCCCAGGGGGUUAAGGGGAGUGGAAGAGGUGGAUUGCUAUUACAAAGGAGAAAACCCAGAGUGAUCUGAGCCCAGAUAAGCCAUGAAGGCUUCUGUGUUUGGGAAAACAUCAGAAAGGGGUCUAACAAAUGAUAUCCAAAGGCAUUUUAAAGGUAGAAGCCUUUCCUGUAGAUGGCUGUAGGAAAGAGAAACCACUACCUUUCAGUGGAAUAUUUCAUAAAAUAGUUUCUCCACC